This is a long non-coding RNA of Chelonia mydas (Green sea turtle), 1770 nucleotides long. RefSeq lists it as uncharacterized. The transcript is spliced from 3 exons. Lineage: Eukaryota; Metazoa; Chordata; Testudines; Cheloniidae. The record is from RefSeq and is a predicted model, not a curated record.
AUUAUAUUUUCGUGUGAUUAUACUAUUCUGUUUAAAGGUAGCAAUGUAUUUCGAGUUACUGGAAGUAUUGGGUAGAUGUUAGAACUGGUAGAAAGUUAGUCUUUGGACGAAAAUAAAAGAUUUUUCGGUCAAUUUCAAUUUUUUUUUUUUCAAAUGAACCUCCCUCCCCCUUUGUUGUAGUUUUUGGUUUUCAACAAGCAAUAUUUUCAAUUCACUUAAUAUACAAAGAAAUGAACAUGAGCACCAUUAGGAAUAAAACAAAUUGACUAAGGUGUUAUAUAGGAGGCCCUGAUACUAAAUGAUUAAAAUUUAUCAAUACAGGAAUAAACUUCCAUAUACUUGGCAGUAAAACCAAAUCUUGUCGUCCAUAGCAGAGCAUGUCUGUGAUGUUAUGUGGAUUGGAGUAAUGAACCAUAUAGUGGGCUGAAGCAAGGUCAGCUGAAAUACAAAGGACAUGGGGUUAUAAAAUGCUGCCAUCUCAAAGAACAUAGUGUCUCCAAAAACAUGGGGCAGAGUGAGCAAAUGUCUAGUCAGAAGAGUCGGGGGUAGGGCAUUUUGACUAGCCAGUGCAUUCAAAUGACUUUUCUUGUCUUCAUUUAGCUAGCUAAAGACAAAAGAAUUGGUAUAUUCCAGGUUGAGAGAGAGACAUUUGCUGCAAAAGAACUACCAUAAAAGACAACUGAAGACAUUAUAUCUCCACAAGCAUCUUGGAAAAAAAAUAGUAAUUGCCACACAUGGAGAGGGAGGGACCCUAAGACUGUUACCAUACAGGUGGCUAUAUCCUGUGAUAUGCAAGUGCCUGCAUUGUAGUCUUCAACUUGCUCUGCAAAAUAUAAUCUAUUGCUGUAUGCGUCACACCAUGCCUGUAUUAAAGAACAUGCUUGCAGAGGACAAUAGCUAGUCAGAGGCAGGGUAGUGGCAUAUUCAAGAAGACAGCACUGUCUCUAACACUGUUCACGUUUUUAAACUCUUCUUCACAGCCAUGAGCACUAGAAACAAACAAAAGCUUAGAGGUUAGAGCAGAGUUCUGCAGCAAUUGGUGGAUUCCAUGACAGAUCCCACAGUGAAAUACUAGAAUACAUGGGGACAUGUUGAUAGCAUAUGCUUUCAAAACUGCUGCAAUCAAUCAGUCAGAUUCUAAACCACACUGCUUCAUCUGACUUCCCUCCCACAUCAGUCACACGUCAUCUGACAGUGUGGUGGCUGGUAAGGACAAAGCCUGGGAAAAGCAUUUUUAGUACCCAUUAUAUCUUUGGCUGAGGACGAGGCCAUCAACAGAGUGACCUACUGGCAAGCCAUUUUCUUCAUCGGAAGCCCAGGAAAUCCAGUGGCAGUCUAACUUUUAAGGGCAGAUGAUCCAAAAAUGUGUUUUAUCCUGACAGGAAACAUGCUACUGAAUCUCAAAGUGGAAGAGAGAAUAAUCUGUCCAUGACAAAAGUAUAACUAUCAUCUAUUACCUCCAAUCCUGCCCCCAAAACAAGCAAUAUUUUUAUUUAUAUGUAGCAAACACUGCACCAGCUUCCUGUAUGCCUGUGAUGAUCUUGCCUAUGUAUUAUACAGGGUCACUUAUAAACUUGUAAAUAUUCCUAUAAAAUUAUUUUUAAAGAGGUAUUUUGUAAACUAGUUUACUCAACUUUUGUAUCAUCCCUUCUCUAAAAAGAUACAGAAACUAGCUAAUUUAAAGGUCUGGUAUAUUCCGAGAGAUUAGCACCAUGUGAAAAAAGCACUGUUGCCACAAGUAUUGCUGUUGCAAUAAAUACUUUGAAACCU